CAGCUGUGCCUGCUGAUACAGGGAGUUGUGUGUUACUGAGAGUACGCACAGAAGCUUUCCCUGCUGAUGCCUGCUCAAAUUAUGGGUCCAUCCAAUUGUGUGUUCACAGCUUUAGGAAAAGAAGGAGCUGCUUCCUGUCCUUUACAUCCAACAGCGUGGGAGACGUUCUCAUUUCAGCCUUUUGAGGCACGGAGGACCCAAACAACCCAUAUUACUUUGAUUUGAUGACGACUGGACUUCAACUUUUAAAAGCAACAAGGUUCACUACGCUAUCACGGCUGGCCUGAGAUUGACUUAGUAGACAAGACUGGCCGUGAAGUCACAGAUUUGUUUGCCUCUGUUUUACAGGUCUUUGGAACAAAGGGCUGGGGAUGAACCCAGGGCCUCUCAGAUGCUAGACAUGUGCUCCACUCCUGAGAUGCACUCCCUACCCCCUCAAUGGAGCAUCAGAGGUAGUGCUCCAUAUCUGUGGUUGUGGCUGGCUGUGGCUCAGUGAGUGAUGAGACUCCAUGUGUGCACUUCCAAACUCAGGGGCAACACUGUUCAUGUCUCCACUUAUGGAUGGGGACCCUGACAAUUCACCGUGAUCAAGAACAAUGAUGAUGGGCCAGAAAUGGUAGCCCAUGCCUUUGGGAGACAGAGGCAGCCAGAAGUUUGUGAAUUCAAGGCCACCCUGGUCUACAUACCACAUUCCAGAGCAGUCAGGGCUACACAGUCAGACCUUGCCUCAAAACAAAGAAGUGAAGAACAAGAACGUGAAUUUCUGGAGAUGCUCUAAGUUUUAGAAUGCUUACCUAUUGUACUUGAUGUUCUGGGUUCAAGUCUUAGCACUGAAUAAACCAGUUGUAUCAACUUCUGGCCUGUAACUCAGGAGAUGGAAACAAAGGGAUCACAAUUUGAGGUUGUGCCCCCUAGAUGGAUCACUGAGGAAAGGCUUUUGCUGUGCAAACCUGGUGGCGACUUGAGUUCAAUUCUCAGACCCACUUACAAGUAGAAGUUGGAAGCAGUCUGCAGAAGAGUUGCUGAAGACCACCACACAGAGCAAGGCCAUGGAGUGCUACAUCCCCACACAUAGUGCUUAGGCCCUGCUGUCUCCACCACACACCAAGAAAAGCUGCUGCGGGGAGCCAAAAGGACAUAGAGCUAGGAUACAGGAUGAGCCACAGAGAUAAUCCACAGGAAUGUUAGUUCAGCCUCGGGGUCCAAAGGCAAAGCUGAACCCUGAAAAGGCCUCUUCAAAGCAGAGAGAAGGUGACCAAAGUCUGAUGAAAAAUGCUAUUGGUGUCAAAGAUGAGAGAAGACGGAGCUGCCAUGGCUUGGCCACGCACCUAAGCUGCAAGAGAAGCCCUGGCUGUGAUCCUUAGCUUGAACUCAAUAUCAGGUGGUGCUAGACUUGAAUUUGUGAUCCUCCUUUUCCAGAGUGCCAAGAAAGCAGACUCUUUGUAGGACCCCAACUGCCUCACUGGAGUGGAUCAGUCGCACUUGCACCUGGGCCCAUCCAGCCCAGAGCAGGGGGAAGGACAAGAGGAAUCCAGGAGAGAACAUUGAAUCCUGUGAAACUCAAAACUCAAGAUACAAAUGGUUGUGGCCUGCCAUAUGGUUGCUAGGAACUGAA
This 1615-nucleotide small RNA is filed under the name Rattus norvegicus (Norway rat). Its description in RNAcentral is "uncharacterized LOC102551138". The record is from RNAcentral. Lineage: Eukaryota; Metazoa; Chordata; Mammalia; Rodentia; Muridae.